This 1759-nucleotide unclassified non-coding RNA is filed under the name Zea mays. RNAcentral describes it as "misc RNA Zm00001eb263170". The record is from RNAcentral. Lineage: Eukaryota; Viridiplantae; Streptophyta; Magnoliopsida; Poales; Poaceae.
ACUGCUUAACUUGUCGAUCUAAUUGUUAUGUUACUUCUUGCUUCCUCCUCACUACCCGAUACUACCGCAUCAAACUCCAGGUCCUCAAAACAAGAAACUCCACCAGAGCUGUGCUUCAGAUAAGAUCCAAAGACCCUUGGUUCCCUCCGUCGAUUUUCAGUCUUCUUGAGCCAAUCAAGCUCCUGGACGACCGAGCGGAUAAGAAGCGUGCAGGCUUCAUCGUUCUCAUUUCGGAUGGUCUAGACGGCCAGUCCAAAUGGGGAGAUGAGAGUAUCACCCCCACGGAUCCUAUCCGAGGCCUCCUCCGAAAGUACCCAGUCCACACCUUCGGUUUGGGCAAGGCUCACGACCCAAAGGCGCUUCACUAUAUCGCUGAUAUAUCCUAUGGAAUCUAUUCCUCCAUCGUCACCGACAACCUUGACAAGAUCAUCGAGGCAUUCGCCGUCUGCUUAGCUGGGUUCAAGACCGUAGUAGCCGUCGACGCUUGCGUUGACAUCUGGUCAAAUAGUUUGCUGAUAACAAGGAUCGACCCUGGGGGUUACAUACUCCGGGGGAGUUCCGGAGGCAUCUUGGUUGGCACGCUCUAUGCUGGGGAGGUGAAGGACUUCAUUGUCUACUUUUCUUAUCGUACCGGGAGUUGGUCGGGGGGUUACUAUACAAUUUUGAAUGGGAUUAAUGCCAGGGUCACGUACAGGGAAGCGCCUGGCAGGCAGUCGACCACUACUGACACUUGCUCGGUGUCGCUCCCAAUUCACGUGGCCAACAGCUCAUCUCCUCCUGCAAACCCCUGCCCACCCUACCCCAUGGUCCUGCAGCAGAUGGUCCGGUUGAAGGUGCUAGACUUGCUUAUAAGCGUCCUGAAAGAAUUCCUGGUCCUGAAGGGGGAGGCUGCUAGUGCCGUCCACGGGAAGGAAGGAGGAGAUGACCCGGUCUUGCAGGCCAUCGCAGCGAGCUUGCUGCAGAGGAAGUGGAAAGAGUUCAAGCAGUCCGAUGAAUCCUGGAAAGAAGCCCCGAGGAACUUCGUUAACCUGGGAGGCAUCGACGAGGACAUCAGCGCCAUGGUGGGUAUCCUGAAGCGGGGCUUGGGUGUUGGAUGCAUCCACUCAUGGCUGUCGAGCAAUCAGAUGCAGCGCGCGACAGCUACAGGCGGCUUGCCAGGGGCUCACAUGGUUGCAACAGGCCAAUUCCGCACGCCAGCGAUGAACGCAAUGGUGCAGGAGGCCCAUAGGCAUUUGGCCAGGGAAGCAUCUGCCCAUGAUGCGGGGACAUCAAUUGUUUGCAAGCGCGCCGUCGAGCUUCUAGAUGGGAUAAACAAGCGAUUCGAUCUCUGGUGCAAGCUGGACCAGGAAUUGCCGCGCACGAACCAACCGUCACCACACCAGGAAGAAGGCCAUGAGUCCCGUGACCUCACCGCCGUCCUACGGGGGGACAUCAACCGAGCGAGGCAGCAUGACAUAUACCUGGUCCCAUGCAUUCCGGGUUUAUCUUGGAUGCAGGCUGCCGAUCACGCGAUCAAGCAAUGGCGCAGCUUCCUCACAUCCGUGGAGAAGACGCAUGGCCACGGGCAUAUAUGAUGAGGCCACUGGCAACCACCACAGCGUGAGUGGCGUUCAGUCGAUGCAGACUCAGACAUACACAAUUAAUAUAAGUAAAUAAAUAAAUUUAAUGAGCGAGAGGCCGUGACACCAGUCCCUCCGAUCCUGAGAAUAAUUAAUAUUUGUGCGUACUAUCCUCAUCGUCAAUAUAUUGGUCCUUUGAU